GCCAGCUCAAUUUGAUUGACGGCUUCUUGUUCGAAACGCUUUUUUACAUGGGAGAAGCGUCCCGGAAUCAAUGUAGGGGAUACUUCACUUUUUUGCUGAGAAAAACAGUAAGCCUAUAGCCUUGGAAUUUUUUCAAAAUCUGAGAUGAAGAUCCAGAUUUUUUUUCGAAGGUUUCUUGCGCUCAUCUCAUGUAUUUUGAUCUCAGGAAUCCGAAUCUGCAAGCAGAAUAAUUCCAUCUAUGAAAAUGACCGAGUUAUCGCCAAUUAAUCGGUCGAAAAAGUGUAAAAUCAAAGAUAUCUUUAUGGGAUCUUACGCCAGCUCAAUUUGAUUGACGGCUUCUUG
This 342-nucleotide unclassified non-coding RNA is filed under the name Athalia rosae (coleseed sawfly). RNAcentral's name for it is "misc RNA ENSAEAG00005008029.1". The record is from RNAcentral. Lineage: Eukaryota; Metazoa; Arthropoda; Insecta; Hymenoptera; Athaliidae.